UGAAGAAAAAAAACAAACAAACAGAGCUUUCAAUAUUCAGUCUUUAACCUAAUUCAUAAAAUUAGGGUUUCGAAAAUCAUUGCUACACAAAGUCAUCAGAGAGAAACCAGUAAUCAUUCAUAGAUAUUAGGGUUUAAGAAGAAUUUCUUGAUACAUUAAAAUUUCAAGAUGCAAUCUUUAACUAAGAGAUUUGUGAAGAGAAUUGAAGAGAGGAGACAAUAAAAUCGAUGUCAGAAGAAAAUAUUGAUCAUGAUUUGGCUGUAGAAGAUAAGAUAUGGAAUUUGAAGACUAUAAAGUUUCUUAAAUACGAAGAAUUGGAGCAUCUCAAUGACCUUUCAAUGGGUUCAGCUUAUGCAUCAAAACUCCUAGAGAAAGGAACCAGUUUUUUUGAGAAAGGUGUACUUGCAUUUAGAAUAAGUGAAUCUUUGAGGAAGAGCAAGGAGAAGAAAGGGUAUAAACCACAUCAGAAGAAACCUCGCUCAAAUUUAUGGAUUCAAUUUUAUUCAGGUACAUUAGUUAAAUGUAUCGUUGAUUUUAACAAUUUUGUUCAAAACUAUUUGGAUUUUCUUCAAGAAAAGAAAUUUGUGAAUUGUGUAAGAAGGGAUUUCAUGAAAAAACCCUUAAAUUUGUUUCCUGAAGUUGAAAUUCCCUUGCCAAUAAUCAAUCAUGAUUCUUGCGAGAAGGAAUCGAAGGAGUUUUGUAAUUGGUGUUUGGAAAAUAUGGCUUCAAUGAAGUUCAAACUUGCAGAAAUAGGACAUUUGUUGGGAGUACUAAUGAAGACCCUUGAUGAAGAAUGUGGUAAAGUUGAGAAAUCUUAUGGAAGUAUGGAUAAAUUAAUUCUUAAUGCUGCUGAUUUUCAAGAGUUUGAAGCAAUAUUGAAGGGGAAGAGAACCAGUUUCUUUGAAAUUGUACUGGAAGGUGAGCAUGAUGAUCAGAGGAAAGAAGAAGUUGAAGAAGAUGAUGAUGAAUCCAACCCUUUCAAAAGACCCAAAGUGUUCUACCAAUUUAUGUAAGAAAUUUGAAGUUUGGGUUUUUCAUCAGAAUUCAUAGAUCACCAAAUUCAGUUUUUAGUCUUUUUUUCAUUAGUAUUACUAGCUCAGUGAUCAAAUUGAGUUGUAAAGAAGAUUCUCGAGUACAUAUACGUUGCAAAGAGAUUUGGUUUUUAUUGUGGAUUGGUGGUUAACAGUAAUUAAGAUUGCCAAUUUUUGUACUUCUCAAUUUCAGUAUUCUUAUGCAAUCCCCAAUCACUAUUUCUCUGGUUUAUGAGUAUGGUUUUGUGCAUUCUAUUCUCCCAUGUAGAAUACUUCAUAUGCACAAAUAUAGUAGGUUGUAUUCAGUAAUUCAAGUCUUUUGCAGUAGCAAAAGAAGGUUUUCUUUUUUGUUUUCUUUCAAUGGGGGCAAAUGCCCCUCUUGGAUAUGAUGAGAGCUUAGUGGGUUUUAAGUAAUUUGUGCCCCCUGAGGGUUUAGAGUAUCAGCUUGUGGUGGUGGGUGAGCAAUUUUUUGUUGGGGUAGAGGCAUUUGCCCCUCCUGACAUGAGUUUGAUAUGAGGGUUUGGAAUUUCUCAAAGGAGGGUACUUCAUUCCGAGUAGUUGAAUUUGAUGAUCCCUCAGGUUACUGAAGAGAUUGUUCUCAGUGUUCCCAACAGUUUUAUCACUUGCUCAUGCAUUCUCUCUUCUGAAUUGGGUUUUUGUGAGAAUAAUGCUCCUGAAAAAUCAGCCAUUAGGCAUCUUGUUGUCGAUCGUAGCUUUGCCUGGUGGUGAAUCUAAACUUAAAUUCUGGUGUGCCAUUCAAGGAUUAUCAUGCAGCUUGGAUUUCAGGUGCAGGUGAAAUCAAAGGAGCUAGAGCAUGCAGGGACAAAGUUGCAUGCCUAAACAAGGCAGAAACUCUUAACUUAAUGUACUGCAAGGAGCUUUGUGGGCUAAAGAUUCUUUUUGCGUGGACGGAAAUUGCAGAAGAAUACUAGAACAUGUCAAAGGGAAUCAAAGUCUUGUUACAUAACAAAAUCAAUUCUGUUGGAAGUUACUACUAUUAGGGCAGACUGUCUUCUGAUAGAGGCAACCAACAAGGCACCCCAAAAUAAUUGGGCACCGUGUUAAGUAUGGAACUGCACGCAGUCGGUGGUCCUAAGAGAUUUCCUCACGACCUUGCUACAACUGGGAUAGCAGGGGCUGGUCCAGAUUUGGGACGCGAUGUGACACUACUAUCUGAAAGGUGAAGAGUUGGGAUUGGUAGCGGGGUGGAGAUGAGAAUGAUUAAAGGUCUGGAUUGAUUGUCCCAGAUUUGACCCAUAACAAUUGUCCCAGUUUUAGCAUUUUCCAAUUCCUCAUCUAACUAGUACUGUACUUCCUACGAAUAUAUAAGAGAACCGCUGUGUACACUUCCAUUCA
Papaver somniferum (opium poppy) is the source of this 2387-nucleotide RNA transcript. RefSeq lists it as uncharacterized. The transcript is spliced from 4 exons. Lineage: Eukaryota; Viridiplantae; Streptophyta; Magnoliopsida; Ranunculales; Papaveraceae. The record is from RefSeq and is a predicted model, not a curated record.